Molecule: non-coding RNA, 18 nt
Filed under: Arabidopsis thaliana (thale cress)
Lineage: Eukaryota; Viridiplantae; Streptophyta; Magnoliopsida; Brassicales; Brassicaceae
Source: RNAcentral
GCAGCACCAUUAAGAUUC